CAGAAGCAAAAUACAAUGUUUUGAAUAUCUACUAAUUAGUUGGUGGAUGGAUAAGUUACCUUCUAAGUGUCUUUAUCAUCCAGUGUCUUUUUGCUAAUUUAGAUAAGACUAGAUUCUAUACCUACAUUGUCUGAUUUAUUAGCCACUAGCAUAUGAUGAUUUAAAUUUAAUAAAAUUCAAACUUUGGUUCUUCAGUCACCUAACCACACGUCCAGUGCUAAGUGCCACACAUGGACAGUGGUUACCAUUUUGGACACAUAAAUACAGAACAUUUCCAUCAUUGCAGAAAAUGUUUUUUUUACAAUGCCCAAAGAGAAAAUAGGGACAAAAUAAAAGUAUUCAAUUAACUUAUAAACUCUUAGAUUCUACUGCCAUAGUUAAAGAAAAUGGUUUUUCAUAUAAAAAUUAAUACAGCCCUUUUUAAAGUCACUGGAAUAAUCAGAACCCCAUUCUUUGAAAUUACUUUUCAAUAUAUUUUUAAACAGAUGCUCAGCACUUUACUUUUCAAGUAACAUAAUUAAAUCAUUUUAUAAAUCAUAACAGUAUCUUCAGGCUUUUUCCCCCUUUUUUGUAGUCUUUUCAAAUUGAUGAUACAUAGUUCAUCUGCAGGUAGAACAGAAACCAGUGAAUUCUUUAUUUACAAAUAAAAACUGUUAAACAUUUAUCCUUCUCUUCUGUUUUUUUAAUUAUAUAUAGAUCUAAUGAAAGUGGAAAAGUUUUUUUGUUUAUCUCUCCCUUAAAGGUACAUCAAGAUCCAAAUUAUUUCUUGGGUUUUCUUUUUUGGGAGGGUUCUUCAUAGUUUCUUGCUCUUAAUAACUUGGAUUAUGAAUCACAUUCAGUUUCAUGUAUGAGGCAAGCAUUUUAUUCUGGUGACUUAAUGAAACCUUUUAGUAUUUACUUCUUAACAUAAUGAAAAGGAUGUAUAUGGAUGCAUCUUUAAAUUUUUAAAUGAAAAUAAAGAGACUAAUAAUUCUCUUGAGUCAGCUUGGUGCUUAGUUAAAUACUAAAACUAUCGUUAGGAAGUCAGGAUGCUUUCCUCUCCCUUUUUAAAUGUUUUAAAUCAGGCAACAGACUCAACCCAGUAGUGUCAAAUUCCAAGCAAAUUAUGAAAUUCUUAUUGUUCAGUACAGCUGGGUAAAAGGUGUGAUUUGAGGGUUUUGGUGUGUUUUUUUUUUCUUGUUGGCCUAAUUUAAUGUGUGUACCACAGAGACUCAUGUUAGUUAAGAGAAAUUUUAAUUAUGCUUGAAAUAAAUAGUAUUUUAAUAUAAAUACAGGAAAUGACUGUACACAAAUGCCAAUCAAUGAUUUAAGGCCUUCAAAAUUGUUUUAAUAGUAGCCUUUUGUGUUUUAAUAACCUUAGUUAUUUAAAAUUUAGAUGCACUAAAAUGUCAUUGCCGUUACUAACUUUGCUGUGUACAGGUUAUGUAUAAUUCAGAAUGCUUUGCACUUAGAGGAAUAAUUUGUGGGUUUAUCUUGUUUUGCAAGUUUUCAUGUUUUGACAAUUGCCCCACCAUUUAUACACCCAAUUUUUGGUUGUAUAAUAAAUGGUAAAAUUCAAACAUACCUAAUAAUUUAAUAAUUUGCCUUAUUUUGAUUAAUAAAUUCUGUCAAAGAUUUGAAGAUAGAAAAAGGCUUUUUUUUCCUUAAGUAUUUUUUACACUUUUCAGAUGAGCUGGAAAACACCUUAGUACAUUAGAGUUGGAGUUGUAUUGAUUACAGUCCCAGCUCUAAAGCCUUAUACUCAUGUCUUAAGUAUUAUUGAUUGUUCUAUGAAUUGUUGUUAGUUUCCUAUUUGGCAUCAUAGUUACCCACCUUGCAGCUUAGCUUUUACAAAAAGGAUAUUACUAGCUGUAUUCUUAUUUCUGGUUGACUAUUGAAUUUAUAAUUUAAUGACUUUUAAUUUAAUGACUUUUAAUUCUUUGUCAAUGUAAUCCAAAAAUGAAAUCCCCUUAGGACUCUAAAUUUCUCACUUCACAAAUGGAAUCAAUACAGAAAUAGCAACAUUGUACAUAAUACCAUCCAAGGAUUUUUCCAUGUGUUUACCAAGUUUACCAACCAUUUACUGUAUAUCAGAUUGGUGGGUUUUCUUAACUGAUUUUCCAAGGUGAAUGACUUGUUAGCCUCAGUAAGAAAUUUUCACUAAAUCACAAAAACAUAAGGUCCAAUAACCACCAAAAGACAGAUUUUUAAUUUUUUUGAAAUCUUAUAUUUCCUUUUGAUAUCACUUAUUCAUUUUAAUUUUAUGACUGCCAACUUGUUAUGGUAUUAAUUAUAUGUGUAUGUUUAUAUGUAUGCAUAUAAUAUAUGUAUAUGAAGAAUAAAGUUAAGAUUUGGUCAAACUAUAUUUUCCCAUUCAAGUACAAAAAUGUUUUCAAGGCUGCAAAAAGUGUACAGUUGUUAAACAAGUUGUAAAUAAAGACUUGUAUAAAAAUUCAA
RNAcentral lists this long non-coding RNA (2436 nucleotides) under Canis lupus familiaris (dog). RNAcentral's name for it is "lncRNA (ENSCAFG00000050279.1)". Lineage: Eukaryota; Metazoa; Chordata; Mammalia; Carnivora; Canidae. The record is from RNAcentral.